RNAcentral lists this transfer RNA (62 nucleotides) under Katharina tunicata (black chiton). RNAcentral's name for it is "tRNA-Cys". It matches the Rfam family "tRNA". From Rfam's summary of the family: Transfer RNA (tRNA) molecules are approximately 80 nucleotides in length. The record is from RNAcentral. Lineage: Eukaryota; Metazoa; Mollusca; Polyplacophora; Chitonida; Mopaliidae.
AACUCUAUAGUUUAAAAAAUAUUAAAUUGCAAAUUUAAAGUUACAUCUGAUUGUUAGAGUUU